Non-coding RNA from Carassius auratus (goldfish), 477 nucleotides. The record is from the annotation of a RefSeq genome assembly. Lineage: Eukaryota; Metazoa; Chordata; Actinopteri; Cypriniformes; Cyprinidae.
AUGUUUGUCUUUACCUGGAUAAUAAUGCAACUUUGCAUGGGAACUUCUUUUGCUGAUACAAUUCAACCACUGUCUUCAGAAAAAUAUGUAGUUGAGGGUAAAAAUGUGACACUGUCCUGUAAAUACAGUACCAGUACUGGCACUGUUAACUCUCUCCAGUGGUAUCGACAAUAUGUUGGAGCAAAACCAGAGUUCCUACUUUUUCUUGAUGAAUAUUCAACUAAAUCUGAGCCUGAUCUUCGUCUGUAUUCAAAAGCUACAAAAGAAAUCAAACGUGUGGAUCUGAUCAUCUCUGCUGCUGUAUCAGACUCUGCUCUGUAUUACUGUGCUCUGGAGCCCACAGUCACAGGAAACACAAGAAUGCUGCACAAAAUCCUGACACUAUUAUUUAAUGUGGAAAGAAGCUCUUUAAUGGAGCAGAACUGGGACCCCAGAGUCUCCUCGCUUUCAGUCGACAACAUCAGAAACAUCCACUGA